CCCUGGUCAGGGUUCCGUAGAGAUUCAUCAUAGUGACUACACACUGGCCACUUGAGGGCACUGUGGAUCCACUGAGUGGGCCACUGAUAGCACUGUCUGGGAGAGAGAGGGUUAAGGGAGACUGUCUUGGCUUCCUUUCUGCAUCAAGGAUAUUACUAGAUGAACCAGAGGUAGUGCUGGCACAGGAGGAGUUCAUCAUAGUUUUCUCAGGUCAACCGAUAUGCACGUGUAUUUGCCAUGGCAGGAAGCCAUCAACUGCAGGCUUGUGUGGCCUCUCUAGGAGCCUACGUUUGAUGGGGAGUGUGAUGAGGGUUUCAGCAAGGCAGCUUGGAUAACCCAAGCAAGCCAGGUGGAGACAAAGGAGCAGCUGCCUCAGAUGAAACUCUCAGAAGCUGUGAGAAUGGCUGUCUGCCCGGAAGCCUGCCCUACCUCACUCAGUGCAGCCAACUCCCCUGCCUGCAGGAAACUGGACAGGAUGGGGGAAAACCUGAGUUAGCUGAGCUAGUCCUGGGGUACAGGGUGCCUAUGAGAGCCUACAGGGACGAUGACAUCAGAACAGUGACAUCACAGUAAAACCCUCCAAAAACGGUGGGGAGGAGCAAAAGCCCUGCUUUCUCACCCCAGGAGACCAGCACCCUGAGUAGGGAAAUGCCUAGUCCUGUCCUGCCUGACUCUACCAGGGACACCAGGCUCCUCUGCUGUGUCAUGCUUUGUCUCCUGGGAACAGGUUCAGUGGCUGCUGGAGUCAUCCAGCACCCAAGACACCUGAUCAAAGAAAAGAGGGAAACAGCCACUCUGAAAUGCUAUCCUAUCCCUGGACAUGACACUGUGUACUGGUACCAGCAGGGUCCAGGUCAGGGCCUCCAGUUCCUCAUUUCAUAUUAUGAAAAGAUGCAAAGAGAUAAAGGAAGCAUCCCUGAUCGAUUCGUAGCUCGACAGUUCAGUGACUAUCAUUCUGAACUGAACAUAAGCUCCUUGGAUCUGGGGGACUCAGCCCUGUACCUCUGUGCCAGCAGCUUAGGCACAGCCCUGCAGAGUUACUGGCUUUCUGUACCCAAACCUUCCUGUCUCAGCUGGGGAUGCAAUAGGAAGAGGAAGGUAGGGGCUGCCACACAGCGUUAGCCAAGCCCCAGGGAUGCUUCUAGUUCUUUUCUAACAUUUUCCCUGCCCUGCUGAGCUCAUGGGAGCUCCUGCACGUGUGGACUCCAGACACACUGGAAAUUAUCACAUCUUUCUAAUUCCUUGCAAGUGGCAGGAGCUCCUCCUCUGUGGAACAUAUGGGUAUAUGUUUUAGUGUGUUUUCUGUUGCCAUAUAGAAUACCUCAGACUGGUUACUUUAUAAAGAAUCUAAAUUUCUUACAGUUCUGGAGGCUGGGAAGUCCAAGGUCAAGGACCCACAUCUUGUGAGGACCUUCUUGCUGGUGAGGACUCUGCAGAGUCCCUGGGUGGCACAGGGCA
Cebus imitator (Panamanian white-faced capuchin) is the source of this 1458-nucleotide non-coding RNA. The record is from the annotation of a RefSeq genome assembly. Lineage: Eukaryota; Metazoa; Chordata; Mammalia; Primates; Cebidae.